UACAGAGGGCGCGAGCGUUAAUCGGAAUUACUGGGCGUAAAGGGCGCGUAGGCGGCCGCAUAAGUCGGUUGUGAAAUCCCAGGGCUUAACCUUGGAACUGCAAUUGAUACUGUGUGGCUAGAGUCGAAGAGAGGGGGGCGGAAUUUCCGGUGUAGCGGUGAAAUGCGUAGAUAUCGGAAGGAACACCUGUGGCGAAGGCGGCCCUCUGGCUUCAGACUGACGCUGAGGCGCGAAAGCGUGGGUAGCGAACAGG
RNAcentral lists this ribosomal RNA (253 nucleotides) under uncultured bacterium. RNAcentral describes it as "partial 16S ribosomal RNA". It matches the Rfam family "Bacterial small subunit ribosomal RNA", at positions 524 to 776 of the family's 1533-position model. The record is from RNAcentral.